Molecule: ribosomal RNA, 433 nt
Filed under: uncultured bacterium
Lineage: Bacteria
Description: partial 16S ribosomal RNA
Rfam family: Bacterial small subunit ribosomal RNA
Source: RNAcentral
AACGAACGCUGGCGGCAUGCCUAACACAUGCAAGUCGAACGAGACCUGCGGGUCUAGUGGUGCACGGGUGCGUAACGCGUGGGAAUCUGCCCUUCGGUCGGGAAUAUCGGAGAGAAAUUUCAGCUAAUACCUUAUAAUGUCUCCGGAACAUAGAUUUAUAGCCGAGGGAUGAGCCUGCGUAGGAUUAGGUAGUUGGUGGGGUAAUGGCCUACCAAGCCGACGAUCGUUAGCUGGUCUGAGAGGAUGAUCAGCCACACUGGGACGGAGACACGGCCCAGACUCCUGCGGGAGGGAGGAGUGGGGGAUAUUGGAAUGUGGGCGAUAGCAUGAUCCAGCAAGGACGGGAGAGUGAUGAAGGCCUUAGGGUUGUAAAGCUCUUUUAUCCGGGAUUAUAAUGACGGUACCGGGAGAAUAAGCACCGGCUAACUCCGUG